Long non-coding RNA from Diceros bicornis minor, 2763 nucleotides. RefSeq lists it as uncharacterized. The transcript has 8 exons. The record is from RefSeq and is a predicted model, not a curated record. NCBI's taxonomy places the organism in Eukaryota, Metazoa, Chordata, Mammalia, Perissodactyla, Rhinocerotidae.
AAUGACCACCUUGAAUCCGUCAUGUGAAGUCCCUGUGCCCCUCCCAGGCUCUUUCCUGGCACAGACAUCCUAUGGGAAGGCCUUGGAGUGGAGGUUCCUCUGUGCAAACUUUCUUGGGUGUUCUAGCCUGUCAGCACUGCCCUUCCCUGGGUUUGUCACCUUGAAAAGAUUUACUCACUUAGUUGAGCCUCAGGUUUUCAAAAGUUAAAAUUUAUAUAAUCAGUAGAGCUUGAAAAACAGUAUAAAAUAUUUCCAAAGAGGCAAGAAAUAGGUAAAUUUCAGAAAAAAAGAAAAUAUACUAGUAUUACAUUGAAUGUGUUAAAAAUUCUUCUUUCCGUUUCUGCCUCCCCUGAGCGUGUGUAGUCCUGUUCUGUUCUGUUCUUUGGGGUGGGGUGUUUUCAAAUGGAAUUCCCAGGCUUACAGUUGAACAGCAAAAGUGUUAAGUGUGACUAAUUGUUUAUAAAACAGUGUCUUUCCAUGGAAAUAAUAAUUAAUAUUAUUUUCUGAAAGUAAUAAAUACAUGUGGCUUUUCUUGUUGAACUAGAAAAAUGCUUUACAACUUUCUUCCCUCCUUUCACGUAAACCGUGGGUUUGUGAGAAUUUGCUGUAUUCUUCAAACACUGGGUUGUGCCAUUUACAAGAUCACUGUGGUCCAAAGCAACAUGAUUGGGAGCAGAGGCCUGGGGUCAGGGUCUCUAAACUAAGACCCCCUUGAGUCUGCACAGGGAAGUACUUGAGGGCCCAUACGUUCUUCCUGGGUGUCCUCCCUGUUCAUACCCACCACAGAAGGAGCCUUUCUGCUGAGAGAAGCUACAGAGCCCUGGAAAGCUGGGAAGGCACCUGCACAGGGGGUGGGGGUUGCUGCCCUUCCUGAGGUUGUUCUGUGCUCCCCUUGGGCCUGUGUCUACACGUAGGGUGGAGUUUUGCACCCACACUGUAGGUGCCUGCAGAGUGUAAUUUGUGCACAUUGGGAAAGUCUGUGAAAGUCAGGAGUUCUAUCUGGACUAGGGUGUAUGAAUUCGGGGUUCAUUUGGGUCACAACGUUAAACUGCAUCCUGCUGAGAGUCUCCUCACUUGUGAGAGUGGAGGCUGAGAGAGGGAUCCCUUCUCUUACUCCCCAGGCAGAGGAGGGUGUGUGAGCUCCCAGAGUCCAUUCCUGUGGCUGCUCAGGUGUCUCUACCCUCCUGCGCCAGGGACUGACCCACUCCGGGGCUUCCGUCUCCACAAGGAGAAACUGGAAUGUGUUUAACUUUCUGAAUGUGGCUUUCUUUCUGUCCUGUGGGAAGCAGGCUACAUAUCUGUGCUGAUUCCAAUAUUUGUGCUUCUUUCCUUUGGAUUCCUGUAUCGAUUGAACAGUGCAGCCCUGUGCUGCACUGUUUCCCUGGUUUCCCUUAGCACUUUGUAAUUUUAUUCCCUGUAUGAGAAAUAACAUUUUGAGUUUCUUGGGCUUAAAAAUGUGAAUUGAUGGAGAGAACAGGGGGAGGGCGUGAACCACUAGUGGCUAAUGUAGGUAUUGAAGAAGAAAUGCUCAUGCGUCUAACCAAGAAGUAUUAAAUCAGAAAUCCUAUAAUGAUGCCCUUGCCUUUGGAUACAAGAAUCUCCAUAUAACGUAAGUCAGAUUCUUCUAGGAUUUGGCAUCAGGGAAGGAAUUAAAUAAUACCUCUACCAGGUCUUAUGAAAGUGUAAAACUGUAAAACCCUAUGACUUUCAAUUUGUUAUCUGUAAAAUGAGGAUAUUAGUAUCUUAUGAUCCUCAAUAGCUGAAGCCUUCUCACUGUGACCCUAGGAAGAGAGACUGUUCGCCUGUUUGUCUUAGGUCGUUCUUCAGGCAAGCGUGGUUUGAGCAGGCAGAUCCCCUGCCAUGUGAAUGUUUAGGAUGUCAUGACUGGUGUAUGUACAAGUGGUGGAAAAGACUGGAAUUUCAUGGCUUUUUUUUUGUUUCCUCAGCUUUGUCUGCUUAGUUAUCAGACUGUCCCUUGUGGAGAAGUCUAAGGAAGAAGGGGCAGUUGAGCUCUUGAGAAUGCAACCACAGGAAUCAGUGACCUUCAAGCGUGCGGUUGUGUACUUCCCCCAGGAAGAGUGGGCCUUGGUGGACACAUCCCAGAGGAAGCUGUACAGAGAUGUGAUGCUGGAGAACACUGGUCAUCUCGUCUCUGUGUGGUGGCAAUUCUGCAAAUCAGAUGUAAUUUCCCACUGCAGCAAGAAGAGGAGUUGUGGAGGGAAGAAAGAGGAUUCCUACAAGGCCUGAGGCUGGGUUGGGAGACUGGGGAAGACCUGAGAGGCACAAUGAGUUUUCCAGGACAGAAAACUGGUACGGAGGUCUGAAUUCAGCUCUGUCUCAUCAAAGAGGCUCUAGGCUAAGGAAAGCGCAGAAUCAGAGACUUUUCUGUUGCUGUAGACAUUGGCUCAGCCCUCAUCCCUGAUGCCGCUGGCCGUUUGGCAGGAGGCACCCAAAGUUUCCCCAGCGGCAAUGUCCAGUCAGUCUCCUGAUUCCUCCUGGCCUGGUUCCAGGACAUUCUUUGGAGAACUCCACUCAAGACAUCAUCAAGGAACUGGCAGAUGGGCUCAACUACUACAACUCCCUAGACAAGGGGCAGGUGCACCAGGCCACCAACACCAUCCAGUACUGAUCUGAGGUACCAGGCCUUCAUCACUACCCAAGUCCUGGACCAGCUGUCCCACAGGUCCUGUCCACAAUACAUUCCCUGGGAUUCCCUCAUAGUCUUUCUACAUCUGAAUGCAUCUUUCCAUAUUCCGACCAGGA